This 435-nucleotide ribosomal RNA is filed under the name Triticum aestivum (bread wheat). RNAcentral's name for it is "partial small subunit ribosomal RNA". The record is from RNAcentral. Lineage: Eukaryota; Viridiplantae; Streptophyta; Magnoliopsida; Poales; Poaceae.
AUGGAGAUCUCCCUGGAUGCGCUGCUGGGUGUGCAGCGGCAUGGGCAGACCUGGCCUACCGCCUCACACAGGGCGUCUCGGGGCUGCUCCUCCACCUCUAGGUGCAGACGCCGCAGCUCCCGUGGCCCGCCCCGCCGCUCAAGCUCCUCCCCUUCGACAUCGAGCUCCCCGCCGCCCCCUUCGCGGUCGGCGCCGACCUCCCGGCCGUGGCCGUCGCGUCCUUCGUGGAGAUCGGCGGCCGGCUUGGGCAGGCCGGGUCCGACCUCAGCGCCUCCAUUGGUGGUGCCAUGCAGCAGCUGUCGCGGCAGCUUCCCGCACCGUUCUGCGCGCGGCGCUGGAAGUGGGAGGGGGCCGCCGCGCCGUCGACGCCCGCGGCGGCGGUGGACGAGGGGGAAGCGGGGCUCGCCGCGGAGAGGGCUUUUGAGGGCGGGGUAG